GUAGGUGGCAAGCGUUGUCCGGAAUUAUUGGGCGUAAAGCGCGCGCAGGCGGUCCUUUAAGCCUGAUGUGAAAGCCCACGGCUCAACCGUGGAGGGUCAUUGGAAACUGGGGGACUUGAGUACAGAAGAGGAAAGCGGAAUUCCAAGUGUAGCGGUGAAAUGCGUAGAGAUUUGGAGGAACACCAGUGGCGAAGGCGGCUUUCUGGUCUGUAACUGACGCUGAGGCGCGAAAGCGUGGGGAGCAAACAGGGAUUAGAUACCCUGGUAGUCCACGCCGUAAACGAUGAGUGCUAAGUGUUAGGGGGUUUCCCGCCCCUUAGUGCUGCAGCUAACGCAUUAAGCACUCCGCCUGGGGAGUACGGCCGCAAGGCUG
This 373-nucleotide ribosomal RNA is filed under the name uncultured organism. RNAcentral describes it as "partial 16S ribosomal RNA". It matches the Rfam family "Bacterial small subunit ribosomal RNA", at positions 527 to 896 of the family's 1533-position model. The record is from RNAcentral.